This is an RNA transcript of Diachasmimorpha longicaudata, 2904 nucleotides long. RefSeq lists it as uncharacterized. NCBI's taxonomy places the organism in Eukaryota, Metazoa, Arthropoda, Insecta, Hymenoptera, Braconidae. The record is from RefSeq and is a predicted model, not a curated record. The transcript has 2 exons.
GGAUGGCUUCCUCAGGCCUCCCACUUUAACGAUAAAAUUCAGUUGUACCUAUUGUAAAAAUACACCUUCGGUAUGUCUCGUAAAACUGCGUGCACGCGGUCUCUGCAAGCUGUAGCGUGAAAGGGUAAAUGGUUCUUAUGCUGGUGAAUAAAAAUAUGGUGAGACAUGGACGAGGGGGAGGCGGGAGAAAUGAUGGAGUGAGAGGGAUGCAUGAUCGGUUGCUAUUGGACGGUGGCACGUGUGGCUGUGGCACCUGCCAUGGGCAUCUUUUCAAGGAGUCCUUUGUCGCUGUUAGCCGACCGGGCAGCCGUGUGCCCAGGUAGGAAAUGCCAAUGUCCACGAAACGGGCCAGGUCUGGCACGAGACUGGCUUGCCAGAUCUGGGCCACCAAGCUUGGCCCGAGGCAUGGCCAGACCGGCAAAGAGCAUGGCUUGCCAGGCUUGGGUCACUAAGCUUGGCCCGUGGUAUGGCCAGACUGGCAAAGAGCACGGUUUGCCGGGCUUGGGCAACCACGCUUGACCCGAGGUAUGGCCAGACUGGUAAAGAGCAUGGCUUGCCAGGCUUGGGUCACCAAGCUUGCCCCGAGACAUGGCCAGGCAGACAAGGGGCAUGGUUUGCCAGGCUUGGGUCCCAUAUGGAACAGCAUUCCAAAAAUUGAAUUCUCAUGGGGAAUGUUCCUUCACUAAAUUUUUCGUCCUUUGAUUCUCCUUCUUCCGAAGGUACCAUUAUUUCUUCUGAACAUACUAUUUCAGGGGAAAAUAUGCGUGGAUAUCACCGUAUACCACACAUUCUAUGACAACAGCCCGUAAGAUGGCGUGUUGAGUAGUCUGAUUGUGGCAGUAGACAUGAGUGUCGUGUGCGGCAAUUUAUUAUUUUAAUAUUACUCUUUUACUAUUGUAAUAUGUCUCAGAGUUCAUAUUCACGGGUUAAAAAAUACAGACAUUUUCAUCAACUGAAGAAAAAAGAAUCUGUAAACGUAGAAGGCGCUAAAGAAAAAACUCCGGAUUACAGUGAACGCAAUAAUGCCGAUGAGGAAGAGGUUAGUUUGCCAACAGCCAAUGAAAUAACUAUCCGUAGUGGAUCUAUUGUGGAUCAAAUUAGUGGAGAUGUCGAUGUUCGACAUCUCGAUGAUAAUGCUAGUGCUUGUGGUGAUAGUUGGUCGGGUGGUGAUGGUGAUUGUGGCUCGUAUAAGCAUCUUAAUGAUUGCAUCAGUGAAUCCAAUAGCAGCGUUGGAGACAGGGAUGAACCAAUUCUUGGGGGCUCAGGUUGUGAUGGUGAUUCAGAUGACAUUGACAAUGAUUUCAACAAAGUAUUCACUGACAGCAUUGGAGACAAGAAUACACAAACUCUGGACAAAUUGGAACCGCGGGGAAUGGAGCAAAAAAUUAAUCAAUGGGCAGUGAAAUUCAGAAGAGCUACAACAGCAGAAGCAAUCGAUGAAUUGUUAGCCAUUUUAAGAAGUGAAGGUUACACAUCAAUACCCAAGACUACACGGCAGCUUUUGCAAACUCCCCAUUGCAGACACCUAACAACCAUGAGAGGAGUUCAUGAGAUUCCAGGUGAAUUCAUUUAUUUGGGAAUCGCCUCGGGACUCAGAAAAAUAAUUUCAACUCAAAUUUAUCGAGAAAACGACAUUUCUCUUCUGGUUCAUAUUGACGGUAUGCAGGUAUACCGGAAUGCUAAGAAGGAAAUUUGGCCAAUUUCAAUAAAAAUACAGCAUCCAAAUUACACUACCAAACCCUUUGCUGCCGCGAUUUAUUGUGGGGAUGGGAAACCAUUAUCAGCCACAGAAUUCAUGACUGAUUUUGUUGAAGAGGCCAAUGAACUCCAAGAAAAUGGUUUGCGCAUUGAUGACAAGGUUUUUGAGGUGAAAAUUGUAGCAAUAGUGGCUGAUUCGCCAGCUCGAGCAUUCAUUUGCUGCCACAAAGCUCCUGGAGCCUUCUAUGCCUGUGGAAGGUGUUUCACCAAGGGCAUUACAGUAGGUUGUGGAAGACGAGGAAAACGCAUAUAUCCAGUGACCAAUGCAAAUUUACGCACUAAAGUAUCCUACGAGACGCGAGUUCAACCAGAACAUCAUUAUGAAGGUUCUGUGUCCCCGCUGCUCUCUUUGGAUAGAUUCGAUCUGACAAAACAAGUGCCAUUAGAUUUAAUGCAUUUAUUCUAUUCUGGUAAUAUGAAAUGGCUGCUGGAUAAAUGGCUAACGAGAAGUUCAGCCCAGAGGAUCAAAUUAGCUGAUGUUCGUCGGCUUGAUGGUAUUAUGAGGUCAUUAAAAGCCGAUAUCCCUAUUGAAUUUCAAAGGAAAGAAUUUGAUGUGAAUAAUAUCUCAAGAUGGAAAGCAUCACAAUUCAAGUUUUUCCUUAAUUAUUGUGGUAUCGUCGUGUUACAAGAUUUCUUACCGAAACCUUUACGUUGUCAUUUCUCAUUAUUUGUCUUUGCUAGCAGAAUUUUAAACAGUAAGGAAUUCGUUAAGGAUUUGAGUGAAUAUGCUGGAUCUCUGCUAAAAAUUUGUUUCGAGACGUUACCUGAUGUUUAUAAUGAUGAAGGGGCUCAAGUUCUCAGUUGGCAUAGUAUCAUCCACGUUGCUAAUGAUGCCCAAUACUUUAAAAUUCCUCUGAAUGAGCUCUCAGCGUUUUGGGGAGAGAGUACGAACACUACGUGCGAACAAGAUAAAGUGGAAAAUUUAUGAUUUACACUUGAUAUGAUUGUUUAUACAUAAAAGCAUUGGAAUGUUGAGGGGACGAGAAACGUUCCAUUUUUCCCCACCAUCUCUUAUGUAGGAAAGCAUUAUAAUUCUGUUGUGAAGAGGUAUACAAGCAAAACCAAAGACAAGAUUUCAAAGCAUUUACCAGAGUGGAUCUGACUCUGAAGACGAAAAUCAUGAUUGUCUUAUAGCUAAUCCUGAGG